This 253-nucleotide ribosomal RNA is filed under the name uncultured bacterium. Its description in RNAcentral is "partial 16S ribosomal RNA". It matches the Rfam family "Bacterial small subunit ribosomal RNA", at positions 524 to 776 of the family's 1533-position model. The record is from RNAcentral.
UACGUAGGGUGCGAGCGUUAAUCGGAAUUACCGGGCGUAAAGCGUGCGUAGGCGGUUCGUUAAGUUCGUUGUGAAAGCCCCGGGCUCAACCUGGGAAUGGCAAUGGAAACUGGCGGGCUGGAGUAUGGCAGAGGGGGGUGGAAUUCCGCGUGUAGCAGUGAAAUGCGUAGAGAUGCGGAGGAACACCGAUGGCGAAGGCAGCCCCCUGGGCCAAUACUGACGCUCAGGCACGAAAGCGUGGGGAGCAAACAGG